This 325-nucleotide long non-coding RNA is filed under the name Phaseolus vulgaris (common bean). RNAcentral's name for it is "long non-coding RNA (PVUL_LNC001164)". The record is from RNAcentral. Lineage: Eukaryota; Viridiplantae; Streptophyta; Magnoliopsida; Fabales; Fabaceae.
CACUAAUCACUUCGUUUUCAACUCUCUUAGCACACCUCAGCCUUGCCCGACAUGCUGAUUAUUUAUAAUAUGCUGCACCUCACUCAGAUGUUACAUGGUAACAAUCUCUUAUUUUUGUUUCAGAUUUUAUGCUUAUUUAUCAUUCAUCUACAGCUACGGAGAACAGUUUCGUGAAUUUUUUGGAAUUUUUAAUCAUUAAUUUUAAACUUUAACUCACUCAAACAAUGAAAUAUGUUGUAUAUCUUUCUGUUUAAAAUUUAAUUGUUUUUUUUACAUUUUGUGCUUUUAUUUUUAUACAAUAAAAAAAGUUAGAGCUCUAAGGGAU